RNAcentral lists this ribosomal RNA (116 nucleotides) under Escherichia coli. The record is from RNAcentral. Lineage: Bacteria; Pseudomonadati; Pseudomonadota; Gammaproteobacteria; Enterobacterales; Enterobacteriaceae.
CUUGGCGGCCUUAGCGCGGUGGUCCCACCUGACCCCAUGCCGAACUCAGAAGUGAAACGCCGUAGCGCCGAUGGUAGUGUGGGGUCUCCCCAUGCGAGAGUAGGGAACUGCCAGAC